CACAAGCGGUGGAUGAUGUGGAUUAAUUCGAUGCAACGCGAAAACCUUACCUACCCUUGACAUGUCCGGAAUCCCGAAGAGAUUUGGGAGUGCUCGCAAGAGAACCGGAACACAGGUGCUGCAUGGCUGUCGUCAGCUCGUGUCGUGAGAUGUUGGGUUAAGUCCCGCAACGAGCGCAACCCUUGUCAUUAGUUGCCAUCAUUUGGUUGGGCACUCUAAUGAGACUGCCGGUGACAAACCGGAGGAAGGUGGGGAUGACGUCAAGUCCUCAUGGCCCUUAUGGGUAGGGCUUCACACGUCAUACAAUGGUCGGUACAGAGGGUUGCCAACCCGCGAGGGGGAGCUAAUCCCACAAAGCCGAUCGUAGUCCGGAUCGCAGUCUGCAACUCGACUGCGUGAAGUCGGAAUCGCUAGUAAUCGUGGAUCAGCAUGUCACGGUGAAUACGUUCCCGGGCCUU
RNAcentral lists this ribosomal RNA (458 nucleotides) under uncultured Rhodocyclaceae bacterium. RNAcentral describes it as "bacterial SSU rRNA". It matches the Rfam family "Bacterial small subunit ribosomal RNA", at positions 924 to 1382 of the family's 1533-position model. Lineage: Bacteria; Pseudomonadati; Pseudomonadota; Betaproteobacteria; Rhodocyclales; Rhodocyclaceae. The record is from RNAcentral.